RNAcentral lists this ribosomal RNA (490 nucleotides) under uncultured bacterium. RNAcentral's name for it is "partial 16S ribosomal RNA". It matches the Rfam family "Bacterial small subunit ribosomal RNA", at positions 30 to 507 of the family's 1533-position model. The record is from RNAcentral.
AUUGAACGCUGGCGGCAGGCCUAACACAUGCAAGUCGAACGGUAACAGGAAACAGCUUGCUGUUUCGCUGACGAGUGGCGGACGGGUGAGUAAUGUCUGGGAAACUGCCUGAUGGAGGGGGAUAACUACUGGAAACGGUAGCUAAUACCGCAUAACGUCGCAAGACCAAAGAGGGGGACCUUCGGGCCUCUUGCCAUCGGAUGUGCCCAGAUGGGAUUAGCUAGUAGGUGGGGUAACGGCUCACCUAGGCGACGAUCCCUAGCUGGUCUGAGAGGAUGACCGGCCACACUGGAACUGAGACACGGUCCAGACUCCUACGAGAGGCAGCAGUGGGGAAUAUUGCACAAUGGGCGCAAGCCUGAUGCAGCCAUGCGGCGUGUAUGAAGAAGGCCUUCGGGUUGUAAAGUACUUUCAGCGGGGAGGAAGGGAGUAAGGUUAAUACCUUGACUCAUUGACGUUACCCGCAGAAGAAGCACCGGCUAACUCCGUG